UGAGUAACCUGCCCUGGACUUUGGGAUAACCCUCGGAAACGGGGGCUAAUACCGGAUAUGACGGCUCACCGCAUGGUGUGGUUGUGGAAAGUUUUUCGGUCUGGGAUGGGCUCGCGGCCUAUCAGCUUGUUGGUGGGUGAUGGCCUACCAAGGCGACGACGGGUAGCCGGCCUGAGAGGGCGACCGGCCACACUGGGACUGAGACACGGCCCAGACUCCUACGGAAGGCA
This 230-nucleotide ribosomal RNA is filed under the name uncultured bacterium. RNAcentral's name for it is "partial 16S ribosomal RNA". It matches the Rfam family "Bacterial small subunit ribosomal RNA", at positions 118 to 350 of the family's 1533-position model. The record is from RNAcentral.